CACAAGCGGUGGAGCAUGUGGUUUAAUUCGAAGCAACGCGAAGAACCUUACCAGGUCUUGACAUCUCCUGACAAUCCUAGAGAUAGGACGUUCCCCUUCGGGGGACAGGAUGACAGGUGGUGCAUGGUUGUCGUCAGCUCGUGUCGUGAGAUGUUGGGUUAAGUCCCGCAACGAGCGCAACCCUUGAUCUUAGUUGCCAGCAUUUAGUUGGGCACUCUAAGGUGACUGCCGGUGACAAACCGGAGGAAGGUGGGGAUGACGUCAAAUCAUCAUGCCCCUUAUGACCUGGGCUACACACGUGCUACAAUGGAUGGUACAAAGGGCAGCAAAACCGCGAGGUCGAGCCAAUCCCAUAAAACCAUU
This 363-nucleotide ribosomal RNA is filed under the name bacterium enrichment culture DGGE gel band B19. RNAcentral's name for it is "bacterial SSU rRNA". It matches the Rfam family "Bacterial small subunit ribosomal RNA", at positions 924 to 1286 of the family's 1533-position model. The record is from RNAcentral.